AUUGAACGCCGGCGGCAUGCCUUACACAUGCAAGUCGAACGGUAACAGGGAGCUUGCUCCGCUGACGAGUGGCGAACGGGUGAGUAAUGUAUCGGAACGUACCUUUUAGUGGGGGAUAACGUAGCGAAAGUUACGCUAAUACCGCAUAUUCUCUGAGGAGGAAAGCAGGGGACCUUCGGGCCUUGCGCUAAUAGAGCGGCUGAUAUCAGAUUAGCUAGUUGGUGAGGUAAAGGCUCACCAAGGCGACGAUCUGUAGCGGGUCUGAGAGGAUGAUCCGCCACACUGGAACUGAGACACGGUCCAGACUCCUACGGGAGGCAGCAGUGGGGAAUUUUGGACAAUGGGGGCAACCCUGAUCCAGCCAUGCCGCGUGAGUGAAGAAGGCCUUCGGGUUGUAAAGCUCUUUCGGCCGGGAAAAAAUCGCAUGGGUUAAUACCCUGUGUGGAUGAUGGUACCGGAAUAAGAAGCACCGGCUAACUACGUUCCAGCCGCCGCCGUAA
This 500-nucleotide ribosomal RNA is filed under the name uncultured bacterium. Its description in RNAcentral is "partial 16S ribosomal RNA". It matches the Rfam family "Bacterial small subunit ribosomal RNA", at positions 30 to 523 of the family's 1533-position model. The record is from RNAcentral.